CCAUUGGCUGUUCUUGUUCUGAACACGCUCUGUCCCAGAAUUGUUCUAGAGGAAGGCUCCUCACCGCCCCUGACCUGUAUUAUAGAGAAGGCUCCUCACCACCCCUGAACUGUAUUAUAGAGAAGGCUCCUCACCACCCCAACCUGUAUUAUAGAGAAGGCUCCUCACCGCCCCUGACCUGUAUUAUAAAGGCUCCUCACCGCCCCAACCUGUAUUAUAGAGAAGGCUCCUCACCGCCCCUGACCUGUAUUAUAGAGAAGGCUCCUCACCACCCCUGACCUGUAUUAUAGAGAAGGCUCCUCACCACCCCUGACCUGUAUUAUAGAGAAGACUCCUCACCGCCCCUAACCUGUAUUAUAGAGAAGACUCCUCACCACCCCUGAACUGUAUUAUAGAGAAGACUCCUCACCGCCCCUGACCUGUAUUAUAGAGAAGACUCCUCACCACCCCUGACCUGUAUUAUAGAGAAGACUCCUCACCACCCCUGACCUGUAUUAUAGAGAAGGCUCCUCACCACCCCUGACCUGUAUUAUAGAGAAGGCUCCUCACCGCCCCUGAACUGUAUUAUAGAGAAGGCUCCUCACCGCCCCUGACCUGUAUUAUAGAGAAGACUCCUCACCACCCCAACCUGUAUUAUAGAGAAGACUCCUCACCGCCCCUGAACUGUAUUAUAGAGAAGACUCCUCACCGCCCCUAACCUGUAUUAUAGAGAAGACUCCUCACCGCCCCUGAACUGUAUUAUAGAGAAGACUCCUCACCGCCCCUGAACUGUAUUAUAGAGAAGACUCCUCACCGCCCCUGAACUGUAUUAUAGAGAAGACUCCUCACCGCCCCUGAACUGUAUUAUAGAGAAGACUCCUCACCGCCCCUGAACUGUAUUAUAGAGAAGACUCCUCACCGCCCCUGAACUGUAUUAUAGAAGACUCCUCACCGCCCCUGAACUGUAUUAUAGAGAAGACCUCACCGCCUGAACUGUAUUAUAGAGAAGACCUCACCUCCCUGAACUGUAUUAUAGAGAAGACCUCACCGCCCCUGAACUGUAUUAUAGAGAAGACCUCACCGCCCCUGAACUGUAUUAUAGAGAAGACUCCUCACCGCCCCUGACCUGUAUUAUAGAGGAAGGCUCCUCACCGCCCCUGACCUGUAUUAUAGAGGACUCCUCACCGCCCCUAACCUGUAUUAUAGAGAAGGCUCCUCACCGCCCCUGAACUGUAUUAUAGAGAAGACUCCUCACCUCCCCUGAACUGUAUUAUAGAGAAGACCUCACCGCCCC
This 1273-nucleotide long non-coding RNA is filed under the name Bos grunniens (domestic yak). RNAcentral's name for it is "lncRNA (ENSBGRG00000006984.1)". The record is from RNAcentral. Lineage: Eukaryota; Metazoa; Chordata; Mammalia; Artiodactyla; Bovidae.